AGAGUUUGAUCCUGGCUCAGAUUGAACGCUGGCGGCAUGCCUUACACAUGCAAGUCGAACGGCAGCAUGGGAGCUUGCUCCUGAUGGCGAGUGGCGAACGGGUGAGUAAUGCAUCGGAACGUGCCCUGAAGUGGGGGAUAACGUAGCGAAAGUUACGCUAAUACCGCAUAUUCUGUGAGCAGGAAAGCAGGGGACCGCAAGACCUUGCGCUUUAGGAGUGGCCGAUAUCGGAUUAGCUAGUUGGUGAGGUAAAGGCUCACCAAGGCGACGAUCCGUAGCGGGUCUGAGAGGAUGAUCCGCCACACUGGGACUGAGACACGGCCCAGACUCCUACGGGAGGCAGCAGUGGGGAAUUUUGGACAAUGGGCGCAAGCCUGAUCCAGCCAUGCCGCGUGAGUGAAGAAGGCCUUCGGGUUGUAAAGCUCUUUCGGUGGGGAAGAAAUUGCUUCGAUUAAUACUCGGAGUAGAUGACGGUACCCGCAUAAGAAGCACCGGCUAACUACGUGCCAGCAGCCGCGGUAAUA
This 524-nucleotide ribosomal RNA is filed under the name uncultured bacterium. RNAcentral's name for it is "bacterial SSU rRNA". It matches the Rfam family "Bacterial small subunit ribosomal RNA", at positions 8 to 525 of the family's 1533-position model. The record is from RNAcentral.